Molecule: ribosomal RNA, 253 nt
Filed under: uncultured bacterium
Lineage: Bacteria
Description: partial 16S ribosomal RNA
Rfam family: Bacterial small subunit ribosomal RNA
Source: RNAcentral
UACGAGGGGGGCAAUCGUGGUUCGGAAUUAUUGGGCGUAAAGGGUGCGUAGGCUGUGCGGUAAGUCACCUGUGAAAUCUCCGAGCUCAACUCGGAGCCUGCAGGCGAAACUGCCGUGCUGGAGUAUGGGAGAGGUGCGUGGAAUUCCCGGUGUAGCGGUGAAAUGCGUAGAUAUCGGGAGGAACAACUGUGGCGAAAGCGGCGCACUGGACCAUUACUGCCGCUGAUGCACGAAAGCUAGGGGAGCAAACAGU